Molecule: ribosomal RNA, 399 nt
Filed under: uncultured bacterium
Lineage: Bacteria
Description: bacterial SSU rRNA
Rfam family: Bacterial small subunit ribosomal RNA
Source: RNAcentral
AUUGAACGCUGGCGGCAUGCCUUACACAUGCAAGUCGAACGGCAGCAUGGAAGAGCUUGCUCUUCUGAUGGCGAGUGGCGAACGGGUGAGUAAAGCAUCGGAACGUACCGUGUAGUGGGGAUAACGUAGCGAAAGUUACGCUAAUACCGCAUACGCACUGAGGUGGAAAAGCAGGGGAUCGCAAGACCUUGCGCUAUACGAGCGGCCGAUGUCAGAUUAGCUAGUUGGUAGGGUAAAGGCCUACCAAGGCGACGAUCUGUAGCGGGUCUGAGAGGAUGAUCCGCCACACUGGGACUGAGACACGGCCCAGACUCCUACGGGAGGCAGCAGUGGGGAAUUUUGGACAAUGGGCGAAAGCCUGAUCCAGCCAUGCCGCGUGAGUGAAGAAGGCCUCGGUUG